Long non-coding RNA from Bos taurus (domestic cattle), 1139 nucleotides. The record is from Ensembl. Lineage: Eukaryota; Metazoa; Chordata; Mammalia; Artiodactyla; Bovidae.
GGGAGAUUCUGUUACAGUGAGAUGAUGAGGAACCGGAAGGGAGCCAGAAGGCCCAGCAGGAGCACCAUGCGCCUGGCUCUGAGUGUGAGGAAAGCAGAGGUCAGACUCGCGCUGGGCAGGGACUCCUGAGGCUUCUGGGAGCACGCCCUGCUUAAGCGGAUGCCUGAGUGACAGGGCACUUCCCUGUGGCCCCGAGCUCUAGAGGACAAGGCCAAGGACACACGCAAACCCAGAUCACACGGAAUGGCUCCUCCCAGCAACGCGAGCCUGGGGAGAGACGGCAGCCCUUCCGGACUGCGGGCAGGAAACGCUGAUCCGGGCUACACCAUGGGUGUCCACGCUGCUCAGUGGAGGAAAUCGGACGCAAGAGACCACAGACUCUGUGAGCCCACUGACCCAAAACGUCCCGCGUCGCCGGAUCCACAGACAGAAACUGGGAACCGGCUGGGCAGCGACACUCAGGGCCUCACCCGCAGGCAGCAUCCUGCUCAGCUGGGCCCCGCCUGCCUCCUGCUUCUGUCCAUGAGCCUCAGCCCAGCCCCAGCACAGCAGCGGCCCUGGCCUGGCACACCCUGGCCACAGGCCGCCCCAUCCACCGCAUCUCCCCGGGUGUCCGAGCCUCCUCGCCAGAUGCAGGAAGGCAGCCUGCCUUACCGGCCUGCCCCCACUCCCGGCUCCAGUUUUCUCCACACUGGGCACCGGCAAACACUUGGGAACAUGGUCCUGAUUCCCGGUUUCCUGAAGUCCACGAGGCGAGCUGCGGGGCAGUUAGGCCGCGCGUCACAACCGCGGAGCUCGCUGGCCCCGGAGCCGGGCUCCGCAAGCAGACCUGCGGCGAUGAGAGGCUGUGCAGCCAGCGAAGCCGCUCAGUGCUGCUGGAGAGCCUGCGUGCAGCAGCGAAGACCAAAUAAAUUAAAACUUUUCAAUUAAGAAAAUAAAGAUUGAGGGACAAAUUAAACAAAAAAAUAAGAGCAGUUUUGAUCAACACGCACACAGUAGGGGUCGGGGAGGGCAUGCUGGCCGGGACGCUGGGGACACGCCACAUGGAGAUGGGGCCCCAGGAAAGGAGGUGACCCAACUGUGUUCCUCUCACAACCUCAACAAACUCAAACCCACGGAAACAGAAGGACAAGGCGCCC